This 1362-nucleotide long non-coding RNA is filed under the name Coturnix japonica (Japanese quail). RNAcentral's name for it is "lncRNA (ENSCJPG00005003310.1)". Lineage: Eukaryota; Metazoa; Chordata; Aves; Galliformes; Phasianidae. The record is from RNAcentral.
ACACUCAUCUUAGGCCCUGAGAUUUGCAAAUAUAGAAUUGCCUGCAUAAUAAGCAUAGACAUUUCUUUGCACGUACAGUUUCUGGAAGCAUUUAUCUCUGAGUAAUAUUGACUGAAGUACUCAAAUGACUGUACAUGUGCCUGUGACUGUGUGAAAGUUGACAGGAUGAGAACAUGUAUUUUUUGAGUAAGAAUUGUUUAAUGUGAUGUAGUUGUUGAAUCAAAACAAUAAUUAUUACAGCAAUUAAAGUACAAAACUUGAGUCAGCACGUUGCUUCUAUUCCUGACUCUCCCUGACUUUGUAAUUUUGGGCAAGUAACUUAGUUCCUGAUUCUGCAAAUGCUUUUACUUAUGCUUUACUUUAUUCCACACACACACACAAAAAUGUUUCUAACAGCACAUUAAUAUUUAUUUAACUUAAUAAAACAAGGAUCUGUUUCUGCUAUGACCGUGGGCACACAGCACAAUGAAGCAGAACAAAAGGUAUGGCAGGACAGGGCUUCCAUCCACUUUCUCUCCUUUGCUUUGCCUCUCCUCCUCCCUCAGACUCAACACGUGUCUCCAAGCUGUGAAUACUUGGAGACUGGGAUUUCCUUUUCCUACGUGUGCCUGAAUGCCUGUAGUGCUUCUAAACGCUGCACACAUACCCGGGGAUGAGGGAGACAACGACCAGGCCCUGUGGUACAAGCUACUGUGCUCUUUCAGCCAGAGCUGCUUUCUUCACUAGCUGAGUCUUCUCAGCAGCAGUCGAACGACAGACAGAAAGCGACGCAGCAUUAAGAGGAACUGGGCAGUAACUGAAGCAGUGGGAACAGUCUGGGAAGGGAAGGCUGAGCUCUCGCAGGAAGGAAUUCCCCCCGCAGAGAUAAGCCCUGACAGUGGGAGGGCUCGAAAGAGAGCUCCUCACUGGAGGAACUUGGAAUCCCGGCAGCAGCUCCACGCACUACGGUGUUACUCAGCACUCCGGCACCAGGAGGAUGCGCUAACCCCGUCCGACGGAGCUUCCUCCACCCUCCGCACCGCCCCCCUGCCCAGACGCCAGCCAUGUUCUCCGCAUCACCCCCACCCCGGGCACAGACGGCGCGGGGGGAAGGGCACCACGGCGCCUCCCGCUCCCACCUGCAGCCCCUCCCCCGCCGCUCCCCCGCCUGGCGCACACCCCCCGACCUGCCCGCUUCCUCGCAGACGUGACCGCCCACCUACGGCUCCCGACGGCAGCUCGCUCUCGUGUUGGCUGCUCGAGCUGACCGUCAACCGCCGCUGUCGGAGGGGCGUUGGAAGGCGGGGCCGGGCGCGCUGUCAGCGGGAGCGGCCGGAGGAAACGGCGGCGCUGGCGGGAGGCCAAAUAUUUGACGGAGCCUCU